AGGGUGGAUGGGGAGGAUGUUGUUUCUCACAUCCUAGCGGGGCUUGAAGAAGAAUUCGACCCGGUAGUCUCUGCCAUGUGCUCCCGCGUGGAGUCGGUCACUGUACCGGAGCUCUACUCGCAGCUCCUUAGCUUUGAUA
Hordeum vulgare subsp. vulgare (domesticated barley) is the source of this 139-nucleotide non-coding RNA. Lineage: Eukaryota; Viridiplantae; Streptophyta; Magnoliopsida; Poales; Poaceae. The record is from Rfam.